Molecule: ribosomal RNA, 466 nt
Filed under: uncultured bacterium
Lineage: Bacteria
Description: partial 16S ribosomal RNA
Rfam family: Bacterial small subunit ribosomal RNA
Source: RNAcentral
GACGAACGCUGGCGGCGCGCCUAACACAUGCAAGUCGAACGAGCGAGUGAGAGCUUGCUUUCUUGAGCGAGUGGCGAACGGGUGAGUAACGCGUGAGGAACCUGCCUCAAAGAGGGGGACAACAGUUGGAAACGACUGCUAAUACCGCAUAAGCCCACGACCCGGCCUCGGGUUGAGGGAAAAGGAGCAAUCCGCUUUGAGAUGGCCUCGCGUCCGAUUAGCUAGUUGGUGAGGUAACGGCCCACCAAGGCGACGACCGGUAGCCGGACUGAGAGGUUGAGCGGCCACAUUGGGACUGAGACACGGCCCAGACUCCUACGGGAGGCAGCAGUGGGGAAUAUUGCACAAUGGGGGAAACCCUGAUGCAGCGACGCCGCGUGGAGGAAGAAGGUCUUCGGAUUGUAAACUCCUGUUGUUGAGGAAGAUAAUGACGGUACUCAACAAGGAAGUGACGGCUAACUACGUG